RNAcentral lists this unclassified non-coding RNA (235 nucleotides) under plant metagenome. Its description in RNAcentral is "partial contains small subunit ribosomal RNA, internal transcribed spacer 1, and 5.8S ribosomal RNA". The record is from RNAcentral.
UUUCCGUAGGUGAACCUGCGGAAGGAUCAUUAAAGUUAUAGUCCCCCGGCCCCUCCGGGCUGGGGUCUUCUAUACCACCCUUUGUUUAUUACACCUUUGUUGCUUUGGCAGGCCUGCCCUCGGGCUGCUGGCUCCGGCCGGCUCGUGCCUGCCAGAGGACCUAAACUCUGUUUGUAUAUGAAGUCUGAGUACUAUAUAAUAGUUAAAACUUCCAACAACGGAUCUCUUGGUUCUG